This 935-nucleotide ribosomal RNA is filed under the name uncultured bacterium. RNAcentral describes it as "bacterial SSU rRNA". It matches the Rfam family "Bacterial small subunit ribosomal RNA", at positions 8 to 916 of the family's 1533-position model. The record is from RNAcentral.
AGAGUUUGAUUCUGGCUCAGAAUGAACGCUGGCGGCGUGGUUAAGACAUGCAAGUCGAACGGUGUUCAGUCUGUGGCAAUACAGAUUGAACGCAGUGGCAGACGGGUGCGUAACACGUAAGCAAUCUACCUUUGUGUGGGGAAUAACCUGUCGAAAGACGGGCUAAUGCCGCAUAUGGUUGCCCCCUGCAUGGUGGGCAUACUAAAAUCCGGGACCGCAAGGCCGGAUGCACAAAGAGGAGCUUGCGGCCUAUCAGCUAGUUGGCGGGGUAACGGCCCACCAAGGCAAAGACGGGUAGCUGGUCUGAGAGGACGACCAGCCACACUGGAACUGAGACACGGUCCAGACACCUACGUGUGGCAGCAGUUUCGAAUUAUUCACAAUGGGCGAAAGCCUGAUGGUGCGACGCCGCGUGAGGGACGAAGGUCUUCGGAUUGUAAACCUCUGUCACCGGGGAAGAAUGGUUGUGACCCAACACGUCACAAAUUGACUUAACCCGGAGAGGAAGCAGUGGCUAACUCUGUGCCAGCAGCCGCGGUAAUACAGAGACUGCAAGCGUUAUUCGGAUUCACUGGGCGUAAAGGGUGCGCAGGCGGUCGCGUGUGUUAGAUGUGAAAGCCCGAGGCUCAACCUCGGAAUUGCGUCCAAAACUACGCGACUAGAGUACCGGAGAGGAUAGCGGAAUUCACGGUGUAGCAGUGAAAUGCGUAGAUAUCGUGAAGAACACCAGCGGCGAAGGCGGCUAUCUGGAAGGUAACUGACGCUCAGGCACGAAAGCGUGGGGAGCAAAAGGGAUUAGAUACCCCUGUAGUCCACGCCCUAAACGGUGCACACUAGGUGUUAGCGGAUUCGACCCCGUUAGCGCCCAAGCUAACGCGUUAAGUGUGCCGCCUGAGGACUACGGCCGCAAGGCUAAAACUCAAAGGAAUUGACGG